This 1470-nucleotide ribosomal RNA is filed under the name Casuarina equisetifolia subsp. incana. RNAcentral's name for it is "bacterial SSU rRNA". It matches the Rfam family "Bacterial small subunit ribosomal RNA". The record is from RNAcentral. Lineage: Eukaryota; Viridiplantae; Streptophyta; Magnoliopsida; Fagales; Casuarinaceae.
AAAGUUUGAUCCUGGGUCAGGAUGAACGUUGGCAGCAUGCUUAACACAUGUAAGUCAGACGGGAAAUGGUGUUUCUAGUGGCGGAUAGGUGAGUAACGCGUAAGAACCAGCCCUUGGGAGGGGAACAACAGCUGGAAACGUCUGCUAAUACCCUGUAGGCUGAGGAGCAAAAGGAGGAAUCCACCUGAGGAGGGACUCACGUCUAAUUAGCUAGUUGGUAAGGCAAUAGCUUACCAAGGCGAUGAUCAAUAACUGGUCUGAGAGGAUGAUUAGCCACACUGGGAUUAAGACACGGCCUAGACUCCUACGGGAGGCAACAGUGGGGAAUUUUCCGCAAUGGGUGAAAGCCUGAUGGAGUAAUGCCGCGUGGAGGUAGAAGGCCUACGGGUCGUGAACUUCUUUUCCUGGAGAAGAAGCAAUGACGGUAUCUAGGGAAUAAGCAUCGGCUAACUCUGUGCCAAUAGCCAUGGUAAUACAGAGGAUGCAAGCGUUAUUUGGAAUGAUUGGGCGUAAAGCGUCUGUAGGUGGCUUUUUAAGUCCGCCAUCAAAUCCCAAGGCUUAACCCUGGACAGGCAGUGGAAACUACCAAGCUGGAGUACAGUAGGGGCAGAGGGAAUUUUUGGUGGAGCGGUGAAAUGCGUAGAGAUCGAAAAGAACACCAACCGCGAAAGCACUCUGCUGGGCCAACACUGACACUGAGAGACGAAAGCUAGGGGAGCUAAUGGGAUUAGAUACCUUAGUAGUCCUAGCCGUAAACGAUGGAUACUAGGCACUAUGCGUAUCGACCCGUGCAAUGUUGUAGCUAAUGCGUUAAGUAUCCCGCCUAGGGAGUACGUUCGUAAGAAUGAAACUCAAAGGAAUUGAUGGCGGCUCGCACAAGCGGUGGAACAUGUGGUUUAAUUCGAUGCAAAGCGAAGAACCUUACAAGGGCUUGACAUGCCGCGAAUCCUCUUGAAAGAGAGGGGUGCCUUUGGGAAUGCGAACACAGGUGGUGCAUGGUUGUCGUCAGAUCGUGCUGUAAGGUGUUGGGUUAAGUCCCGCAACGAGCGCAACCCUCGUGUUUAGUUGCCACCAUUGAGUUUGGAACCCCGAGCAGACUGUUGGUGAUAAGCCGGAGGAAGGUGAGGAUGACGUCAAGUCAUCAUGCCCUUUAUGCGCUGGGCGACACACGUGCUACAAUGGCUGGGACAAAGGGUCGCGAUCCUGCGAGGGUGAGCUAACCCCAAAAACCUGUCCUCAGUUUGGAUUAUAGGCUGCAACUCGCUUGCAUGAAGCCAGAAUCGCUAGUAAUCACCGGUCAGCCAUACGGCGGUGAAUUUGUUCCCAGGCCUUGUACACACCGCCCGUCACACUAUGGGAGAUGGCCAUGCCCGAAGUCGUUACCUUAACCACAAAGAAGGGGAUGCCGAAGGCAGGGCUAGUGACUAGAGUGAAGUCGUAACAAGGUAGCCAUACUGGAAGGUGUGGCUG